GAUGAACGCUGGCGGCGUGCCUAAUACAUGCAAGUCGAACGAAACUUCUUUAUCACCGAGUGCUUGCACUCACCGAUAAAGAGUUGAGUGGCGAACGGGUGAGUAACACGUGGGCAACCUGCCCAAAAGAGGGGGAUAACACUUGGAAACAGGUGCUAAUACCGCAUAACCAUAGUUACCGCAUGGUAACUAUGUAAAAGGUGGCUAUACUACCGCUUUUGGAUGGGCCCGCGGCGCAUUAGCUAGUUGGUAGGGUAAAGGCUUACCAAGGCAAUGAUGCGGAGCGCAAUUGGGGGGUUAGUCGGCCAAAUGGGGACUGAAACCCGGCCCAACCCCCCACGGGGGGGAGGAGGGGGGAAUCUUCCAACAGGGGCGAAAGCCUUGGGGAGAAACGCCGGGGGGGGGAAGAAGGUUUUGGGGUCGAAAAACCCUUUUUUUGGGAAAAAAGGUUGGGAAAGGAAACUUUUCACGUUUCGACGGUAUCUAACCAAAAAGCCACUGCUAACUACGU
RNAcentral lists this ribosomal RNA (511 nucleotides) under uncultured bacterium. RNAcentral's name for it is "partial 16S ribosomal RNA". It matches the Rfam family "Bacterial small subunit ribosomal RNA", at positions 28 to 506 of the family's 1533-position model. The record is from RNAcentral.